ACAUUGCCAGUAAACAGAGUUCGAUUAUGGCUCAGAUUGAACGCUGGUGGAUGCUGACACAUGCAAGUCGAACGGCAGCACGGACUUCGGUCUGGUGGCGAGUGGCGAACGGGUGAGUAAUGUAUCGGAACGUGCCUAGUAGCGGGGAGAACUACGCGAAAGCGUAGCUAAUACCGUGCGCAUUCCUUCGGGGGAAAGCGGGGGACCUCGGGCCUCGCACUAUUAGGAGCGGCCGAUGAUCGACAGCGAAGGUGGGUAACGGCUCACCAAGGCGACGAUCCGUAGCUGGUUUGAGAGGACGGACGCAGCCACACUGGGACUGGACACGGCCCAGACUCCUACGGGAGGCAGCAGUGGGGAAUUUUGGACAAUGGGGGAAACCCUGAUCCAGCCAUCUCGCGUGCGUGCGAUGAAGGCCUUCGGGUUGUAAAGCACUUUGGUAGGAUAAAGAAACGGCACGGGAUAAUAAUUCCGUGCAACUGACGGUAUUCUGCAGAAUAAGCACCGGCUAACUACGUGCCAGCAGCCGCGGUAAUGUACGUAGGGUGCAAGCGUUAAUCGGAAUUACUGGGCGUAAAGCGUGCGCAGGCGGUCUGGAAAGAAAGAUGUGAAAUCCUGAGCUUAACUUGAAUCAGCUUUAAUCAUCGAGCUGAAAAACAGGGAGGUGAAUUCGCGUGUAGCAGUGAAAUGCGUAGAUAUGCGGAGGAACACCGAUGGCGAAGGCAGCCUCCUGGGAUAACACUGACGCUCAUGCACGAAAGCGUGGGGAGCAAACAGGAUUAGAUACCCUGGUAGUCCACGCCUCAAACGAUGUCAACUAGCUGUUGGGGCCUUCGGCCUCGGUGGCGCAGCUAACGGUGAAGUUGACCGCCUGGGGAGUACGGUCGCAAGAUUAAAACUAAAGGAAUUGAUUAGACUCCGCACAAGCGGUGGAGCAGAUGUGGAUUGACCUGAUGCAACGCGAAAACCUUACCUACCCUGAUGUCUGGAAUCCCGAAGAGAUUUGGGAGGCCUGUGGCAGAGAAUCAACACAAUGGCUGCCACUGGCUUCGUCGUGAGAUGUUGGCUGAAACCCGCAAUGAGCGUCCCGCUGUUGUUGCUACAGUGGUGUUCACUGAGAUCGCUGCAGCGCAGCCCGGAGAUGGGAUGAUGGAACCUCAUAACUUUAUAUAUGGUCGCACGCUCAUAGCAAUGGUCGGGAAGAGGGUCGCUGUCCGGUGAGGUUUUAUCCCAGGAAACCUGAUCGUAUCCGGAUCGCAGUUCCGCACCUGACCGUGAAGUCGAAUCGCUGGCAACGUUAGAUCGCGACGUCGCAGAAUAGCGUUCCCGGCUCCAGCAAACACUGUCACGUCGCCGGAUGGGUUACUAUAGGUUAACGAAUUAAUCCAGCAGGAGGUUGAGCACACUGCAGGAUCACAUCAGUAGUCAACAAGGUAG
RNAcentral lists this ribosomal RNA (1437 nucleotides) under uncultured Bordetella sp. RNAcentral's name for it is "partial 16S-23S ribosomal RNA intergenic spacer". It matches the Rfam family "Bacterial small subunit ribosomal RNA". The record is from RNAcentral. Lineage: Bacteria; Pseudomonadati; Pseudomonadota; Betaproteobacteria; Burkholderiales; Alcaligenaceae.